This 1178-nucleotide ribosomal RNA is filed under the name Salmonella enterica. Its description in RNAcentral is "bacterial LSU rRNA". It matches the Rfam family "Bacterial large subunit ribosomal RNA", at positions 1 to 1211 of the family's 2925-position model. RNAcentral also lists the same sequence under 3 other names. Lineage: Bacteria; Pseudomonadati; Pseudomonadota; Gammaproteobacteria; Enterobacterales; Enterobacteriaceae. The record is from RNAcentral.
GGGUUGUGAGGUUAAGCGACUAAGCGUACACGGUGGAUGCCCUGGCAGUCAGAGGCGAUGAAGGGCGUGCUAAUCUGCGAUAAGCGCCGGUAAGGUGAUAUGAACCGUUAUAACCGGCGAUACCCGAAUGGGGAAACCCAGUGUGACUCGUCACACUAUCAUUAACUGAAUCCAUAGGUUAAUGAGGCGAACCGGGGGAACUGAAACAUCUAAGUACCCCGAGGAAAAGAAAUCAACCGAGAUUCCCCCAGUAGCGGCGAGCGAACGGGGAGGAGCCCAGAGCCUGAAUCAGCAUGUGUGUUAGUGGAAGCGUCUGGAAAGGCGCGCGAUACAGGGUGACAGCCCCGUACACAAAAGCGCAUGUGCUGUGAGCUCGAUGAGUAGGGCGGGACACGUGAUAUCCUGUCUGAAUAUGGGGGGACCAUCCUCCAAGGCUAAAUACUCCUGACUGACCGAUAGUGAACCAGUACCGUGAGGGAAAGGCGAAAAGAACCCCGGCGAGGGGAGUGAAAAAGAACCUGAAACCGUGUACGUACAAGCAGUGGGAGCACCCUUUUGGGUGUGACUGCGUACCUUUUGUAUAAUGGGUCAGCGACUUAUAUUCUGUAGCAAGGUUAACCGAAUAGGGGAGCCGGAGGGAAACCGAGUCUUAACCGGGCGUUAAGUUGCAGGGUAUAGACCCGAAACCCGGUGAUCUAGCCAUGGGCAGGUUGAAGGUUGGGUAACACUAACUGGAGGACCGAACCGACUAAUGUUGAAAAAUUAGCGGAUGACCUGUGGCUGGGGGUGAAAGGCCAAUCAAACCGGGAGAUAGCUGGUUCUCCCCGAAAGCUAUUUAGGUAGCGCCUCGUGAAUUCAUCUCCGGGGGUAGAGCACUGUUUCGGCUAGGGGGCCAUCCCGGCUUACCAACCCGAUGCAAACUGCGAAUACCGGAGAAUGUUAUCACGGGAGACACACGGCGGGUGCUAACGUCCGUCGUGAAGAGGGAAACAACCCAGACCGCCAGCUAAGGUCCCAAAGUCAUGGUUAAGUGGGAAACGAUGUGGGAAGGCCCAGACAGCCAGGAUGUUGGCUUAGAAGCAGCCAUCAUUUAAAGAAAGCGUAAUAGCUCACUGGUCGAGUCGGCCUGCGCGGAAGAUGUAACGGGGCUAAACCAUGCACCGAAGCUGCGGCAGCGA